AACAACCUCCCCUCGAUGAUGUGUUUGACCUCCAGAGAUACUGGCUUAGAGGACCUGGAGAAGAGGAAGCCCACUCCUCCACUGAGGUUGGUGUUGUGGCUCAGCAGGACUUCCCUCCUCCAGUCGGCCUCGUUGGUGCUGUCGCUGUCAGGCACAGCAGCGCAACGGCCCGCGGCCCGCGGAACCGGAAACGGCCUCACGGACGCCGCAGCCACCUCCGCGGCUGGAGACUCCCCCGCAAGCGCCGCGGCCGGAGGCUCCCCCGCCGCAGCCGCGGCCGGAGACCCCCCCGCAAGAGCCGCGGCCGGAGGCUCCCCCGCCGCAGGCGCGGCCGGAGACCCCCCCGCCAAAACCGCGGCCGGAGACCCCCCCGCAAGAACCGCGGCCGGAGACCCCCCCGCCGCAGCCGCGGCCGGGGACCCCCCCGCCAAAACCACGGCCGGAGGAUCCCCCGCCGCAGCCCCGCCAGGCGGA
Gasterosteus aculeatus aculeatus (three-spined stickleback) is the source of this 474-nucleotide long non-coding RNA. The record is from Ensembl. NCBI's taxonomy places the organism in Eukaryota, Metazoa, Chordata, Actinopteri, Perciformes, Gasterosteidae.